AUUGUAAUUGUUUUUAAUAACCUGCCCAGGGACUGCGGUUGAAAAUUAGCCAGCUGGCUAAAACCGUCACUUUUACUGAAACAUUGAUUAAUGUGCACUGCCCCUGUAAAAAUAAAAUAAACUCAAACUCAAACAUCUCCUUACCCUAUCGUCAACAUUACCACAACAUAGUGAGAGCCACUUUGGAAAAGAAACAUAGCUCCAUGUUGGAUAUUUUGGCACUAAGAGACAACAAGGUCAUAAACAGCAUGCGACAUAUCAGUCUUGGUAUAUUAGUCUCAUGUUGAUAUAGUAAAAUUGUUAUUUUGUUAAUUUUCAAAAUGGCAUAUUUUGAAAAACAUCCAAACAAAUGGCCAUUCACUUUCAUAGUGGGGAAAAUAGGUUUCCAUGACGGCCUAGUGAUUGAGUAACAAUACCCAUACUGUUUAUCAGUAACUAUGUCCUGACACGCAAGCAAAUCAUAAUAAUCCUCCAAGAACCAAUCAGCAAAGGCCUGUUAACUAAACCCCUGAGAGACCAGUAUAGAAAAUAGAAUCCCUAGAAUCGGGAAGGCCCUCAGACCCAUUAACUUGAAUCGGAAUGUCCGUUCUAGGGAUUAUAUUUCUAUGGUUACACAGGAAACCAGGGGGAUCUGCUUCCACAACAGUCCUGGAGGUUUUAAGGUAAAGGUCAGCUUGGUAAUAACUUCAGACGCUUUUCAGUGUUCAUCAACAACCAACAACCAACAACCUCAACAGGACGUCUGUUUUAAUCAGUCUCCCACUGGACUGAACCAUGGGGUGCAACACCAGCAGGGGUUCUGUCGUGGUGGACCCUUCUAAAAAGCCAGAGACCAGACCAGCGUCGGCCAGCUCGACCAGUAAGUCCACCGCUGAGGAGACUAAAGAAACUACAGACAAAGACAAAGAUGAAACAGAAGGCAUAUCAAGCUGCGACUGACAUCCAUCUUUCUUCUUAACACAAACUCCUCAAAAUUGGACCUGCCUGCAGAGGAAGGCAAUGCUGCACAACUGUCCAUCGUCAUCUGGGACCAGACCAGCCACACACCCCGCUCUACACUGUGAUGUAACCUACCAGCCACACACCCCGCUCCGAUCUGUGAUGUAACCUACCAGCCACACACCCCGCUCCACUCUGUGAUGUAACCUACCAGCCACACACCCCGCUCCACUCUGUGAUGUAACCUACCAGCCACACACCCCGCUCCACUCUGUGAUGUAGACCUACCAGCCACACACGCUGCUCCACUCUGUGAUGUAACCUACCAGCCACACCCCCCGCUCCACUCUGUGAUGUAGACCUACCAGCCACACACCCCACUCCACUCUGUGAUGUAACCUACCAGCCACACACUCCCCUCUAUGAUGUAACCUACCAGCCACACACUCCCCUCUGUGAUGUGACCUACCAGCCACACACUCCCCUCUGUGAUGUAACCUACCAGCCACACACUCCCCUCUGUGAUGUAACCUACCAGCCACACACUCCCCUCUGUGAUGUAACCUACCAGCCACACACUCCCCUCUGUGAUGUAACCUACCAGCCACAGGUUCCUUACUCUGUCUACUGUUGCUUUUCCAGAACACUCUCUCUCUCAAUCUCUCAACUGGACCUUCAGUGUCCACAGUGCCAUGUUUAUAUCCUGUUAAUGUGCCAGUAUGGUCAUUGUAACAACAAUGAGACAUGGUAGUAAAUGUACAGAUUCAAUCUGACUAAUGUCCUUUAUUGUUUUUAAUGUCCUUUAUUGUUCUUACCUCCAUCUCUAUCUCACUCUCCAUCACACACCUCUGUUCCAAGGUGGCAAUUGCAAUCAGUUAUUUCAAAAGCUUCCAACCCUGCCGCAGGCUAAACCGAACAGCAGCCAAAUCAGUAGGCUUUGUAGGCAGUUUUUGUUACAGCUGUACAGCAUAUUACUGAUCACUCCAGCAAUCCUAGGCUCCAACACUACAUAACACUGCAUCAGGAAGCUGUUACAACUCUGUGUUUGGGUAGACAGCAGCAUGCUUGUUAUUACCUAUGAAGGAAAUGGUUCCCAUAGAUACAAAUACUAUAUACUGCAAUGCUUUCUUUUGCCACCAGGUGGCAUGUAAACACACCUGCAGUUCUGUCUGUCACCACCAGGGUGCAGAAGUGAUCCAUCAGUAUUUGGUGGGCUAUCCAAGGCCCUGGUCCAUUUUCUCAAGACAUUUAAUCUGAAAUAUAUGUUGUAAAUGUAUUACCAGCGAGUGAAUAGAGCUGGAAGGGAAUAGCCAUUUCACAAAGCCCAUAUCACAAAUACCCAUCACAGAGGAAGCGGGAAAUUACAUGAAAAUAUUACCAUUAUACAAAUGGAAAGUGUGAUUGAAUAAUGUGUUUGAGAAGAUAAAUGGAAAGCACUUUGUUAGAAAAUGUGGUGCUAAAUAGCUUUUUAAUUUCAGAUGUGGGAUAAAAUAAAACACAUUUCUACUCCA
Molecule: non-coding RNA, 2450 nt
Organism: Salmo salar (Atlantic salmon)
Lineage: Eukaryota; Metazoa; Chordata; Actinopteri; Salmoniformes; Salmonidae
Source: RefSeq, a predicted model, not a curated record